CAUAGGUUAAUGAGGCGAACCGGGGGAACUGAAACAUCUAAGUACCCCGAGGAAAAGAAAUCAACCGAGAUUCCCCCAGUAGCGGCGAGCGAACGGGGAGGAGCCCAGAGCCUGAAUCAGUGUGUGUGUUAGUGGAAGCGUCUGGAAAGGCGCGCGAUACAGGGUGACAGCCCCGUACACAAAAAUGCACAUACUGUGAGCUCGAUGAGUAGGGCGGGACACGUGGUAUCCUGUCUGAAUAUGGGGGGACCAUCCUCCAAGGCUAAAUACUCCUGACUGACCGAUAGUGAACCAGUACCGUGAGGGAAAGGCGAAAAGAACCCCGGCGAGGGGAGUGAAAAAGAACCUGAAACCGUGUACGUACAAGCAGUGGGAGCCUCUUAAUGGGGUGACUGCGUACCUUUUGUAUAAUGGGUCAGCGACUUAUAUUCUGUAGCAAGGUUAACCGAAUAGGGGAGCCGAAGGGAAACCGAGUCUUAACUGGGCGUUAAGUUGCAGGGUAUAGACCCGAAACCCGGUGAUCUAGCCAUGGGCAGGUUGAAGGUUGGGUAACACUAACUGGAGGACCGAACCGACUAAUGUUGAAAAAUUAGCGGAUGACUUGUGGCUGGGGGUGAAAGGCCAAUCAAACCGGGAGAUAGCUGGUUCUCCCCGAAAGCUAUUUAGGUAGCGCCUCGUGAAUUCAUCUCCGGGGGUAGAGCACUGUUUCGGCAAGGGGGUCAUCCCGACUUACCAACCCGAUGCAAACUGCGAAUACCGGAGAAUGUUAUCACGGGAGACACACGGCGGGUGCUAACGUCCGUCGUGAAGAGGGAAACAACCCAGACCGCCAGCUAAGGUCCCAAAGUCAUGGUUAAGUGGGAAACGAUGUGGGAAGGCCCAGACAGCCAGGAUGUUGGCUUAGAAGCAGCCAUCAUUUAAAGAAAGCGUAAUAGCUCACUGGUCGAGUCGGCCUGCGCGGAAGAUGUAACGGGGCUAAACCAUGCACCGAAGCUGCGGCAGCGACACUAUGUGUUGUUGGGUAGGGGAGCGUUCUGUAAGCCUGUGAAGGUGUACUGUGAGGUAUGCUGGAGGUAUCAGAAGUGCGAAUGCUGACAUAAGUAACGAUAAAGCGGGUGAAAAGCCCGCUCGCCGGAAGACCAAGGGUUCCUGUCCAACGUUAAUCGGGGCAGGGUGAGUCGACCCCUAAGGCGAGGCCGAAAGGCGUAGUCGAUGGGAAACAGGUUAAUAUUCCUGUACUUGGUGUUACUGCGAAGGGGGGACGGAGAAGGCUAUGUUGGCCGGGCGACGGUUGUCCCGGUUUAAGCGUGUAGGCUGGUUUUCCAGGCAAAUCCGGAAAAUCAAGGCUGAGGCGUGAUGACGAGGCACUACGGUGCUGAAGCGACAAAUGCCCUGCUUCCAGGAAAAGCCUCUAAGCAUCAGGUAACAUCAAAUCGUACCCCAAACCGACACAGGUGGUCAGGUAGAGAAUACCAAGGCGCUUGAGAGAACUCGG
RNAcentral lists this ribosomal RNA (1495 nucleotides) under Escherichia coli. Its description in RNAcentral is "partial 23S ribosomal RNA". It matches the Rfam family "Bacterial large subunit ribosomal RNA", at positions 165 to 1703 of the family's 2925-position model. The record is from RNAcentral. Lineage: Bacteria; Pseudomonadati; Pseudomonadota; Gammaproteobacteria; Enterobacterales; Enterobacteriaceae.